Molecule: ribosomal RNA, 406 nt
Filed under: uncultured bacterium
Lineage: Bacteria
Description: partial 16S ribosomal RNA
Rfam family: Bacterial small subunit ribosomal RNA
Source: RNAcentral
AUUGAACGCUGGCGGCAGGCCUAACACAUGCAAGUCGAACGAGUGGCGGACGGGUGAGUCAUGUCUGGGAAACUGCCUGAUGGAGGGGGAUAACUCCUGGAAACGGUAGCUAAUACCGCAUACCAUCAGAUGUUCCCAGAUGGCAUUAGCUAGUUGGUGGGGUAACGGCUCACCAAGGCAACGAUCCCUAGCUUGUCUGAGAGGAUGACCGGCCACACUGGAACUGAGACACGGUCCAGACUCCUACGGGAGGCAGCAGUGGGGAAUAUUGCACAAUGGGCGCAAGCCUGAUGCAGCAAUGCCGCGUGUAUGAAGAAGGCCUUCGGGUUGUAAAGUACUUUCAGCGGGGAGGCGUUACCCGCAGAAGAAGCACCGGCUAACUCCGUGCCAGCAGCCGCGCUAAUAC